AAUCAACGCUGGCGGCGCGCUUAACACAUGCAAGUCGAACGAGAAAGGGAGCAAUCCUGAGUAAAGUGGCGUACGGGUGAGUAACACGUGGGUAAUCUGCCCUCUGGUGGGGAAUAACUCUGGGAAACCGGAGCUAAUACCGCAUAAGAUCGCGAGAUGAAAGGGCGAAAGUUCGCCGGAGGAGGAGCCCGCGGCUGAUUAGCUAGUUGGUGAGGUAAGAGCUCACCAAGGCUGAGAUCGGUAGCCGGCCUGAGAGGGCACACGGCCACACUGGCACUGAAACACGGGCCAGACUCCUACGGGAGGCAGCAGUGGGGAAUCUUGCACAAUGGAGGAAACUCUGAUGCAGCGACGCCGCGUGAGUGAUGAAGCCC
Molecule: ribosomal RNA, 374 nt
Filed under: uncultured bacterium
Lineage: Bacteria
Description: bacterial SSU rRNA
Rfam family: Bacterial small subunit ribosomal RNA
Source: RNAcentral